CACCGCGGUUAGACGAGAGGCCCCAGUUGAUAUUUUAACGGCGUAAAGGGUGGUUAAGGACUAACAAGAUUUUUUAAAGCCAAAUGGUCCCUUGGCCGUCAUACGCUUCUGGGUAUCCGAGGUCCUAUAUGCGAAAGUAGCUUUAAUAACCAGCCUGACCCCACGAAAGCUGAGAAA
Molecule: ribosomal RNA, 177 nt
Filed under: Gymnocypris przewalskii (Lake Qinghai scale-less carp)
Lineage: Eukaryota; Metazoa; Chordata; Actinopteri; Cypriniformes; Cyprinidae
Description: partial 12S rRNA
Source: RNAcentral